CUGCCGGCGACCGGCGCACGGGUGAGUAACACGUAUGCAACCUGCCCUCCGCAGGGGGAUAACCCGGAGAAAUCCGGACUAAUACCGCGUGGUACACCAGUGGGGCAUCCCACGGGUGUUAAAAGGAAGCGAUUCCGGCGGAGGAUGGGCAUGCGGCGCAUUAGCUUGUUGGCGGGGUAACGGCCCACCAAGGCGACGAUGCGUAGGGGUUCUGAGAGGAAGGUCCCCCACACUGGUACUGAGACACGGACCAGACUCCUACGGAAGGCAGCAG
RNAcentral lists this ribosomal RNA (274 nucleotides) under uncultured bacterium. Its description in RNAcentral is "partial 16S ribosomal RNA". It matches the Rfam family "Bacterial small subunit ribosomal RNA", at positions 85 to 354 of the family's 1533-position model. The record is from RNAcentral.